Molecule: long non-coding RNA, 2149 nt
Organism: Scomber scombrus (Atlantic mackerel)
Lineage: Eukaryota; Metazoa; Chordata; Actinopteri; Scombriformes; Scombridae
Exons: 5
Source: RefSeq, a predicted model, not a curated record
GGACCCUUUUGAGGUUGCUGCCUCUGUUCAUAGGGGAUGUUGUUCCUGAAAAUGAUGAUGCAUGGGCUGUAAUUCUGGAACUUAAAGACAUUGUGGAACUUUUGGCAUCCUCCAGUUUUACAGAUGAAAGCUUGUGUUAUCUUGAUGCCAAAAUAAGUGAGCACAGAAAACUAUUACUGACUGUGUUUCCAGGACUGCAACUGAAACCUAAACAUCAUUUUAUUGAACACUACACUCAUUUGAUCCGCUGCUUUGGACCACUGGUAGAGUUCUGGACGUUACGAUUCGAAGCGAAACAUAGUUUCUUCAAAAAAGUGGUUCGUGAUGUCAAUAAUUUCAAAAACAUUCUAUUGACUCUGUCCCUCAGACAUGAACUUAUGUUGGCAUACUACCUGGACACGCCCAACCUGUUUAAACCAACAGUGGAAUUAAAAGGAGUAUCAAAUAUUUCCCUGGACAUUCUGGCCCCCUCUGUCAAACAAGUGAUUGAGAAGAAAUGUAGAACUCUGAGCAGUGUAUCUCUGGCCACAACCGCAUACAUUCACGGGACAAGAUACACCAAGGGAAUGUUCUUGUCAGUUGGAAGCACAAGUGGCCUUCCUGAUUUUUGUAAGAUUAUACAUGUGUUGCUUGUAUGCAACAAGCUAUUUUUUCUUCUGGAACCUUUCUCAGCUUGGUAUCUGGAGCACCUACGAUGUUACGAAGUCUGCAAGAGAGACCCUACUCAACUGACGGUAGCCGAACCUGAAGACCUGAACCACUACAUCCCAUUGUCAGCAUACACCGUGCACGGCCGACUUCUGGUUUCACCGAAGGCAUUUCCUGUACAUUAAGACGUCAACGACAGAGUACAAGACGGUUCAAGUCUGCAAGAGAGACCCUGCUCAACUGACGGUAGCUGAACCACUUACAUCCCCGUUGUCAGCAUACACUGUGCAAGGCUGACUCGUGGUUUCAGGGAUUUCUUGUACAUUAAGUCAGACGUCAACAACAGAGUACAAGACGGUGCUAGUUCAUCCUGUCCAAGAUCAACUCCAUCGAGCUGAAGAAAACCAGCAGUCACAAGUCCACUUAAGAUCUGUCUGCUUGUGUAGGCCUCUCUCAGUUUCAUCAUGCUGCUGCGCAUCAUCUUGAGCGAAAAUGACAUAAGAAAGGUUACCAUUGACACCUUGCCGGAGACUGUUCAUGACUUCUGCUCAAUCCUGAAGACCAAACUGGGACUGGAGGGCGACCUUGUGAUUCAGUAUCAGGACCCCGAGUUCGACAAUGAACUGUGCAAUUUAAGUAGCAUGUCGGAGCUUCAUAAAGAUAAAGCAACUUUGAAAGUGCACACCAAGUCUUCUGAAUAAAACACAGACUCAACUCUAGACACGGCAAGCCUGUCAUCAUCUUCCCUCGAGGAUAGCCCCCAUGGUACCCAAACUCGUCAGCUGCCUCAACCAUUCGUCAUUCCUGCUUUUUCUUUUGAUGUUGAGUUGAAACUGAGGCAAGGGAAUGAUGCCUUCCAUAGAGAUGGGAGCCUUCUUGACAUUUCAAAAGACAUGAAAUCGGACAUCUUAGACAAGUUAGCAGAAGCCAUAUAUGCUCACAAUCCCUACCCAUCACGUGAGGACUAUGAUCAUGUGGCCCAAGCUCUCAUCAACAAGCAUCCUUGUCUGAAGGAACCAGGGUCUGUUGGUGGGUGGUAUUGCUGGAAGUUUAGUUUAAAGUUCAAAAUGGGAAAUUUCCGGCAGAAAAUGCGAGUGGCUGGUUGCUCCGAGCUCAGAGUGAACGCACGUACCUCUGGAUCAACAAGUUCAAAAAGACUAAAGAGGGCCAGAAAGUCAGAAGUGAACUUCCUGCCAGAUUUUCCAGAAGGGAAAGCCCAAAGUGACCUUGAGACAGAGAGAUCUACCAUGGUCAGCGAGAUGAAGAAAAGAAAGGUUGAUUGGAACCAAAUUGGUGAGAUGAUGAGUAACACGUUCCCCUUACGGAGGAAAGAAAUUGUUGAGGAUGAACCCCUUGUGGAACAAGUGAAAGACAGGUGGCCAGCCUUGUUUGCUGAACGGCAGAUUGAAGCAGAAUUUGCUCGCCUUACAUCUGUUGAUCUGAAGGGCUCCUUCUUUGCUGGGCUGGACCAGUAUCUGGCAAGAUUCCUUGAGCUGUACAC